This is a non-coding RNA of Misgurnus anguillicaudatus (oriental weatherfish), 1729 nucleotides long. Lineage: Eukaryota; Metazoa; Chordata; Actinopteri; Cypriniformes; Cobitidae. The record is from RefSeq and is a predicted model, not a curated record.
AAUACACAGUGUUGAUGCUGUUUUAACACUAUCUGGUAAUAAAAUAACACUGCCAUGGCUAGGCCAGUGUUAUAUCCACGACAGUGUCAGUGUAAAACAAGGGUGUUAUCAGAUUUCACUCUGAGCGGUGUAAAUCAAGCCACGCCUCCACUAAACAUAUCCUGUCAGGGAUUUUACCGCCAUUUUCUUUCAAAGGAGGACUGAAGAGAGCAGAUGCUAGUUUGGUGAAAGUACACACUGAGUGCUUCAAAUCAUUCAGAAGAGAUGCUGUUUUUAGGACAGUUUAUUAAAGAAGACCUGACAUGGAUGACUUCCAAUGAGAAACGACUGCUAAUACUUAUAUAAAUUCAUUACAGAAGGACCCUACCAGACUAUAUUUGAAUACGGCAUACCCGUGAAUUCUGGAACUGUUAUUCCUUAACCCAGUUUGGAGGAUAAGAGCUUACCAACUAUAAAUAUGCUGAGGUGAUGUAUUGCAAAAUAGCCAACAUACAACAAUUAAAGGAUAAUUGCAGACUACAUCCUGAUGAAGAUAUGGAUGACCCUCUGUCUGGUCAACAGGAGUUUAAAUAUGGAUGGGACAGUUAUGUGGCAGCUCUUCACUGGCUCAUUCGCCUCUUGCUUUCAUUUGUGAAAGGAGGAAAGACUGGAGAGGGUCAAUGUGCAACUGAAGCUACUGAUUGUGCUGUGUAAGUUUUUUGGUAUUUUGUUCUAGUUAUUUAUUCAGCAGUUAGUUUGCUUGCAUUGUUCACCCCAUGUAAAUGCAUACAAGUUCAUAAAUACACAUCAAAUACAUUCAUCAAAUACACUCUUUUAAAACACUUAGGUGAUGAGCAUCAAUCCAUGCUUUGAGGUGGAUGGAUCAGCACAGCCCUGCCUGCUCUGCGUUGGGAACAAAAGUUGCAUCCAGAAUUUUUGCAUCAUUCUGGACCAAAAAGCCAUUCCCUGCAUGAUGAAGACCACUGAUGCAGCCUUCCACUACAUCAUGAGUAAAACAACUACAGAACUAAAUACCAGGUUGGAACGUGUUUAAGAAAAAUUAAACGUCUUUUGAAUUGAAAUGUCUGUUUUGUUAUGGAAAAAUCUUUAGUAUUGUGAAGGAGAACAUUUCUGCUUGCCGAUAAGGUAAUUGCAUGUAUUUUAAUGUUCAAGUUUUGAGUAGGGUGGCUAAUUUUUUUAACUCUUAUUUGAUUUAUUAAAGACCUUUAUAAUAAGUGGUUUUCAUGUCACUGCGCUGUGGUAUAAGAUAACUUUCAUUAUUCCAUACUGUAUUCUGUUUCUAAUUGUAGCUGAGGUAUUUAAAUAAACAGUGUUAAAUGCAAAGUGUUGUGUGUAUCAAUGUAAAUAUUAAAUGUGAUUUACUUUAAUAAAAAGAGGUUUUGCAAUAUUUCUUGUCAUUUUUCUUUUAUAGAAACAACCCAUUAGCAACAAAAGUGGCUAUUACUCAGUAUUUUAACACUUAACAUUGUUGAAUUCACAUUACACUGGUGUUGACCUUAAAUUAGGAGUGUUAAUUUUUAACACUGUAUUUCUGUGCCAACACCAGUGUAGUGUGGAAACAACAAUGAAUAGUGUUGAACAAAGUGUAAAAUUUAACAAUAUUGAGUGUUAAAUUAACAUAUAAUGGGUGCUGUUAAAUUAACACUACACUUUUGACUAAAUUAACACAGUGUAGUGUGGACACAUAUACACACUUUGCCGGUGUUAAAUUUGACACCGUGGGUGUUAU